RNAcentral lists this non-coding RNA (28 nucleotides) under Mus musculus (house mouse). Lineage: Eukaryota; Metazoa; Chordata; Mammalia; Rodentia; Muridae. The record is from RNAcentral.
GAAAAAUUUGGAUUUUUCAUGCCCAGCC